This 332-nucleotide ribosomal RNA is filed under the name uncultured cyanobacterium. RNAcentral describes it as "bacterial SSU rRNA". It matches the Rfam family "Bacterial small subunit ribosomal RNA", at positions 28 to 351 of the family's 1533-position model. Lineage: Bacteria; Bacillati; Cyanobacteriota. The record is from RNAcentral.
GACUAACGCUGGCGGCGUGCCUAACACAUGCAAGUCGAACGGUAACAUGUCUGUAGCAAUACAGAUGAUGACGAGUGGCGAACGGGUGAGUAAUACAUAAAUAAUCUUCCUAUUAGACGGGGAUAACCUUGGGAAACCAGGGCUAAUACCCGAUAAGCUUCAGUGGCAGCAUUGUCGUUGAAGGAAACACGCAAGUGGCUGAUAGAUGAGUUUAUGCCUGAUUAGCUAGUUGGUGAGGUAAAAGCUUACCAAGGCGAUGAUCAGUAGCUGGUCUGAGAGGAUGGUCAGCCACACUGGAACUGAGACACGGUCCAGACUCCUACGGGAGGCAG